RNAcentral lists this small RNA (28 nucleotides) under Bombyx mori (domestic silkworm). Its description in RNAcentral is "ovarian small RNA-32582". Lineage: Eukaryota; Metazoa; Arthropoda; Insecta; Lepidoptera; Bombycidae. The record is from RNAcentral.
UGAUAUUGGUCUUUGAUUACGAACUGGU